This 117-nucleotide ribosomal RNA is filed under the name Danio rerio (zebrafish). Lineage: Eukaryota; Metazoa; Chordata; Actinopteri; Cypriniformes; Danionidae. The record is from RNAcentral.
GGCCACAGCCAUAUCACCCUGCAGGACAAGAACGGUCACUCACUGAAGCUAAGCAGGGCUGAGCCUGGUCAGUACCUGGAUGGGAGACCACAUGGGAAAACUAGGUUGCUGUUGGAA